UCAAACAGGACCUUUUCUUGCAGGAUCUACGGCCUGAAGAGAAUGAAACCACUGAAAAAUGAAAUAGAAUUCUCCAAGGGACUCUACUCCACGGAAAGAAUGUUGCUACUGGAAAACUUCUACAGAGAUGCAGUCCAGACAUCAGCACUGUUUGCAGUCCUCUGCUCGAAGGUGGGGCUCUGCAGUCUCCCGGGCACUCCUGGAGCCUGGCUUUAUACCGCGUCUCCUUCUGAUGGUGGGACGCCAGUGGGAUCUGCCCCAGGCCCAAGAGGACCCCUGCAACAGCCAAGUGGAGAAGCCACCAGGGCCUGCGUGACAACCAAUCACAAGACCCUUUUACCUCACUUGGGAUAAUGAUGCAAUCGCUCGUCUCUAAUUUUUAAGAGAAGCAGACACAGCAAGCAAGAGGAAUUCCAACCACAGAGGGCUUUUUUAAACAUAAUUUUGAGAAGGCAACUUUGAACAAAGAACUUGCAGACGUGGUGUAACUCCUUCUUAUUAGAGAUGAGCAAGCUUUCCUUGGAAGGACGUGAAGCCCUUGGCAUAGACUGCUUAAGAAAAAUAGUUAACUGCUUAAGUUAAAAUAGUUAAGACAACAGUUAACAAGAAAGAGAGAAAGAGAGAGAGAGAGAGAAGAAAGAAAAGAAAGAAAAAAGAGAGAGAGAGAAAGAGAGCGAGAGAGAAAGAAAGAAAGAAAAAGAAAGAAGAAAGAAUUCCUUUGAAGUGUAGUCAUCAGGGAAGCUGGCAUCUUUCUCUCCCCUGUCACUGUGGGAGGGGAGGAGCCAACUUCAGUGGGCGUCUUGCUCCAAGCUGUAAAACCACCUCCUGUCAUAAGAUCAGAGAGUUUACUUCCUCUUUUUGGUAAAGCCAGUUGGCAAACACAGAUGCCCACCAUCUCCCUCUCACGCUAGCACUUCAAAUCCUGCCUGCACUUCUGUUCCAGCAGAGUCCGUUCAGACUUGGUUCCAGUGUCUCUUCCCUAUCGCAACAGCCUUGAAUCAAGUUUUCCCCGUCUGUUCCACUUUUCUGGGUACGAGGUUUGCUUUCGCAGUUCCCAGCUUGGUGACAUGGCAGCCACAGUGGUCAGACAGUCCCUAGGAACCCCAAACCCGCCAGGGAGACCACUGGCGCGCGGGUUAUGGGGAGACGCCUAACGUCAUGGGAUUGACUGGUAGGGUCCCUUCUCUGGUCUACCGGGCUGACU
Molecule: long non-coding RNA, 1204 nt
Filed under: Equus asinus (donkey)
Lineage: Eukaryota; Metazoa; Chordata; Mammalia; Perissodactyla; Equidae
Description: lncRNA (ENSEASG00005025859.1)
Source: RNAcentral